RNAcentral lists this unclassified non-coding RNA (212 nucleotides) under Hevea brasiliensis (rubber tree). Lineage: Eukaryota; Viridiplantae; Streptophyta; Magnoliopsida; Malpighiales; Euphorbiaceae. The record is from RNAcentral.
CGUCCGUAUCUGAGUUCCUCAAAAGGGUAUUAGAAAUUAAGGCCUUCAUGGGGGAUAGAAGUGCAUCUUGCAUUGAUCUCGAUGGUGCUUGCUCCACAUUUAUGAGCAAACACUCAAGUUUAUCAAGCAUAUUAAGAAGCUCAUGAAUGGAUGAUGGAGGGUACAGGAGGCUAUUCCCAGUCUCCUUAAGUUGCUCCUCUAGCUCAAUCUCA